AUCAGCCUUUCGGGUGCGAUUCUGUGGGGUUUGAGGAGCUUAACACCUUCAUGCUUUGCAUAUUCGUGCUCUUGGGUGUACUUGCCCGUGUGGUUGGUUAACAUCAAUUUUGGUGGUCAUAAAAUGACUGGAGGAAUGUAGCUUCGAUCUUGUAUUGAAGUGUUAUAGCCUUCGGUAGAUGUGAUGAUCGAGAUUGAGGAUUGCAACGGAUACCCUUCGGGGCUACCUGUCUGGUCUCUGAUCGUUGCUCUGGCGCCGAAAGCUUGCUUACGGUUAUCAAAGUCGAUGGUCAAUAGGUUAGAACGGGUUAAAUUCGUUAAGGAUGUUGACGUAAUGGCUCU
RNAcentral lists this ribosomal RNA (341 nucleotides) under uncultured Glomeromycotina. RNAcentral describes it as "eukaryotic LSU rRNA". Lineage: Eukaryota; Fungi; Glomeromycota. The record is from RNAcentral.